CCUACGAGGUGCUGCAGUGGGGAAUAUUGGGCAAUGGGCGAAAGCCUGACCCAGCAACGCCGCGUGAAGGAAGAAGGCUUUCGGGUUGUAAACUUCUUUUGACAGGGAAGAGCAGAAGACGGUACCUGUCGAAUAAGCCACGGCUAACUACGUGCCAGCAGCCGCGGUAAUACGUAGGGGGCAAGCGUUAUCCGGAUAUACUGGGGGUAAAGGGGGCGGAGACGGCAGCGAAAGCCAGGAGUGAAAGCCAGGGGCACAACCCCGGGACUGCUCUUGGAACUGCGCGGCUGGAGUGCAGGAGGGGCAGGCGGAAUUCCGGGGGUAGCGGUGAAAUGCGUAGAUAUCAGGAGGAACACCGGUGGCGAAGGCGGCCUGCUGGACUGCGACUGACGUUGAGGCCCGAAAGCGUGGGGAGCAAACAGGAUUAGAUACCCUGGUAGUC
RNAcentral lists this ribosomal RNA (442 nucleotides) under uncultured bacterium. RNAcentral describes it as "partial 16S ribosomal RNA". It matches the Rfam family "Bacterial small subunit ribosomal RNA", at positions 338 to 795 of the family's 1533-position model. The record is from RNAcentral.